UCGUCAUUAUCUGACAUUAUCUGACACAAGGUUUCACCUUACUGUAGCACUCGAAGAAGUGAGCAGCUGUCCUGUAUUUUGCGCAGGAACACAAAUGCCGAUGAAGAAACUAGGCCAGCUAUCUUUUUCUCCCUGACUGACAUACAUCGUUCGCACCCAUAUUGUUGGAUAAGAGUCAUACGCAGACAGGCGCUGGAUUGAACAUGAUUGGGGCCUCCCUGUUUCUGAUCCUCACAGCAGUGCUUGUCACCGCACUGGGUGAAACCAUAAUUGUUCAAACGGGAUCAUCGGAUUCAACGAAUGUAAUAGUCCCAUCAUCAGGCUCUGGGUCCACAAUUGUCAUCAAACAAGAGCCACCGAAAGUGAUUGUAAUUAACAACGAGCCAUCUCCUAUCAUCGUGCAAGUUCGAUGAUCGUUAUGGAGUCUCGUGGAGACGACUUUGAUCCAGUCACAGGAAGAUGCCGGCACUCCGGACUGCACCACGGUGAACAUGAUGCAGGAACGACAGAGAGAUCACAAAGCAAAGACUCCCUUGAGUGCACUUUACCCCUAUGAUGGAAGAGACAUUCCACCGUCUAAAGUUUUGAAGCUGUUAUAAUGGACAUGGCGUUUUUUAACUGCAUGUACAAUUGACCUGAUAACAUCGGCUUUAGAUAAAUGUCCAAUAUUUGAUGGCAGUGUGACACCAAGUUGUUUUAACAGUUGGAAACAUCUCUAGGUAUAGGCCAAUGAUAAAGUUUUCAAAACGAACAGCUGUAUGAUAGACAUUUUGGCGUCGUCUACUAGUUGCGUAACGUUAGAAAGGGCGGUCUAAUUUUUCUAUCUGUGCCGACAACUAUUUUUGCCCCCAUACCACUUUGCUGCCUUCGCUCAUAUAUCUAACGCGAAACAUACGAAACAUAGCAGUGAAGCUCUCUCAUGAAUUGUGGUUCUUGCCGGUCACGCGAAAGGCCCAUGCCGCCACAUACGAGCUUGUGGCGAAUUUCACUGCUUAAUUUCGAGCAGUUCUCACUCAUCGGAAAGAACAAGGCCUACACUUGGUCGAUUAGAUGUAGAAGUGAUAUAUUAGUGAUAGAUACGACUCAUCGUGAUUUUAUUUAAUCAAAUCUUUAUGCAAUCUGAAUCGUGAAACGAAAAAUUUUCGAUCCUAAUUGAACAGUAAAUUCAUUAUCAUGGAGGCGGCCCAGAACUCCCCUCUGUAUGCUGCGAGGAAUCGUUUUGCGUUCUCAAGCAAAAUAACUAAAUAUGUUGCCAGGAUCUUAAUUUACACAAAUCGCAAUAUCGGGGAACUUUAUAACCAGCUGAGCUCCAUCUUGGUUAGAUUCCCUGCAUUUCAUUUAUCCUUUUCUUCUUUCUCUGUCUCGAUAAUAGUUACACAUGAUUAGCACUUUCAUUUAUAAUGUUAGCUAAAGCUUAUUUAUACCUUUUGCUAACUAAAUAAAAGA
Molecule: long non-coding RNA, 1446 nt
Organism: Dermacentor albipictus
Lineage: Eukaryota; Metazoa; Arthropoda; Arachnida; Ixodida; Ixodidae
Source: RefSeq, a predicted model, not a curated record